CUACGGGCCGCUCCAGUGGGGAAUCUUAGACAAUGGGCGCAAGCCUGAUCCAGCCAUGCCGCGUGAGUGAAGAAGGCCUUAGGGUCGUAAAGCUCUUUCGCCAGAGAUGAUAAUGACAGUAUCUGGUAAAGAAACCCCGGCUAACUCCGUGCCAGCAGCCGCGGUAAUACGGAGGGGGUUAGCGUUGUUCGGAAUUACUGGGCGUAAAGCGCGCGUAGGCGGAUUAGUCAGUCAGAGGUGAAAUCCCAGGGCUCAACCCUGGAACUGCCUUUGAUACUGCUAGUCUUGAGUUCGAGAGAGGUGAGUGGAAGUCCGAGUGUAGAGGUGAAAUUCGUAGAUAUUCGGAGGAACACCAGUGGCGAAGGCGGCUCACUGGCUCGAUACUGACGCUGAGGUGCGAAAGUGUGGGGAGCAAACAGGAUUAGAUACCCCGGUAGUC
Molecule: ribosomal RNA, 439 nt
Filed under: uncultured bacterium
Lineage: Bacteria
Description: partial 16S ribosomal RNA
Rfam family: Bacterial small subunit ribosomal RNA
Source: RNAcentral